GAACCCUCGCCCAUCUGAUAAAACUGGAAGGGGAACCCUCGCCCGCAUCUCUCUAGCCGCCGCCGCGAGGAUACCCUGCUCAGCAGAUCGAUCCGCGGCCAUGUGCCUCCGUCAAGUUUCAUAACCACAAACAUGCUAAUUCAUUUGUUUUCGGCACAUAUGCAAAUUCAUCAUUUCCACACGAGGAAGAGAUUACUAAGGAAGCACACACAAAAAAUUAUGCUAAACAAUAUCAGAGUUGUGUACCUUGUGAGCAGGUUACAAAGCAGAUCAAGAAGAAGAAAAUCGAGCUCAAACCAGACAAAUGAUGACCUGGUUAUAUGUGAAGCUAUGUAGGGCAGAGAUGGAGAUGGGCAAAGCAUUAGUUUCCGCCUCAAAAAAUCUAUGAAGUGAUAUUUUUGAGAGACAAUUGUAAUAUAGGGUUUUAUGAUUUUCCCUGAACAUGAUAUUUCCCAAUGUAUCUAUGAAUUAUCAAUAUGGA
Molecule: long non-coding RNA, 481 nt
Organism: Lolium perenne
Lineage: Eukaryota; Viridiplantae; Streptophyta; Magnoliopsida; Poales; Poaceae
Source: RefSeq, a predicted model, not a curated record